This 257-nucleotide ribosomal RNA is filed under the name uncultured bacterium. Its description in RNAcentral is "partial 16S ribosomal RNA". It matches the Rfam family "Bacterial small subunit ribosomal RNA", at positions 524 to 776 of the family's 1533-position model. The record is from RNAcentral.
UACGUAGGGUGCGAGCGUUGUCCGGAAUUAUUGGGCGUAAAGAGCUCGUAGGCGGUUUGUCGCGUCUGCUGUGAAAACCUAAGGCUCAACCUUGGGCUUGCAGUGGGUACGGGCAGACUAGAGUGCGGUAGGGGUGACUGGAAUUCCUGGUGUAGCGGUGGAAUGCGCAGAUAUCAGGAGGAACACCGAUGGCGAAGGCAGGUCACUGGGCCGCAACUGACGCUGGAGGGAGCGGAAAAGCAUGGGGAGCGAACAGG